CCUACGGGAGGCAGCAGUAGGGAAUAUUGCUCAAUGGGGGAAACCCUGAAGCAGCAACGCCGCGUGGAGGAUGAAGGUUUUAGGAUUGUAAACUCCUUUUCUAAGAGAAGAUAAUGACGGUAUCUUAGGAAUAAGCACCGGCUAACUCCGUGCCAGCAGCCGCGGUAAUACGGAGGGUGCAAGCGUUACUCGGAAUCACUGGGCGUAAAGAGUGCGUAGGCGGGGUAGCAAGUCAGAUGUGAAAUCCUAUGGCUUAACCAUAGAACUGCAUUUGAAACUGUUACUCUAGAGUAUGGGAGAGGUAGGUGGAAUUCUUGGUGUAGGGGUAAAAUCCGUAGAGAUCAAGAGGAAUACUCAUUGCGAAGGCGACCUGCUGGAACAUUACUGACGCUCAUGCACGAAAGCGUGGGGAGCAAACAGGAUUAGAUACCCCAGUAGU
Molecule: ribosomal RNA, 439 nt
Filed under: uncultured bacterium
Lineage: Bacteria
Description: bacterial SSU rRNA
Rfam family: Bacterial small subunit ribosomal RNA
Source: RNAcentral